RNAcentral lists this transfer RNA (92 nucleotides) under Candidatus Cloacimonadota bacterium. Its description in RNAcentral is "tRNA-OTHER". It matches the Rfam family "tRNA". Rfam says of the family: Transfer RNA (tRNA) molecules are approximately 80 nucleotides in length. Their secondary structure includes four short double-helical elements and three loops (D, anti-codon, and T loops). The record is from RNAcentral. Lineage: Bacteria; Pseudomonadati; Candidatus Cloacimonadota.
AGUGCUGUCGUCUAAUUGGAUAGGAUACCUACCGAUUAUAGAUAUUCUUAUUAAAGUAGGAGAUUGAGGUUCAAGUCCUCACGGUGCUACCA